GAUGAACGCUGGCGGCGUGCCUAAUACAUACAAGUCGAGCGAACAGACGAGGAGCUUGCUCCUCUGACGUUAGCGGCGGACGGGUGAGUAACACGUGGAUAACCUACCUAUAAGACUGGGAUAACUUCAGGAAACCGGAGCUAAUACCGGAUAAUAUAUUGAACCGCAUGGUUCAAUAGUGAAAGACGGUUUUGCUGUCACUUAUAGAUGGAUCCGCGCCGCAUUAGCUAGUUGGUAAGGUAACGGCUUACCAAGGCAACGAUGCGUAGCCGACCUGAGAGGGUGAUCGGCCACACUGGAACUGAGACACGGUCCAGACUCCUACGGGAGGCAGCAGUAGGGAAUCUUCCGCAAUGGGCGAAAGCCUGACGGAGCAACGCCGCGUGAGUGAUGAAGGUCUUCGGAUCGUAAAACUCUGUUAUUAGGGAAGAACAAAUGUGUAAGUAACUAUGCACGUCUUGACGGUACCUAAUCAGAAAGCCACGGCUAACUACGUG
This 497-nucleotide ribosomal RNA is filed under the name uncultured bacterium. RNAcentral's name for it is "partial 16S ribosomal RNA". It matches the Rfam family "Bacterial small subunit ribosomal RNA", at positions 28 to 507 of the family's 1533-position model. The record is from RNAcentral.